This 258-nucleotide long non-coding RNA is filed under the name Gallus gallus (chicken). The record is from RNAcentral. Lineage: Eukaryota; Metazoa; Chordata; Aves; Galliformes; Phasianidae.
CAGAGACACAAGGAUCCCAGGCUUCCAUGAGACCGACCUUCCUGUUCCUCUCCCUCAUCCCUCCCCGGGGAGAGGAGGGGUCAGAGAAGUAACAGAGGCAGCUGUUCUUGUGGAAAAGCAGAUUUCAGUUUGGACAGAAAGAAGUGCUGAACUUCAGCAGGAAGAUGCAGCCCAGAUGCUUCACUUGGACUUUUUGUUCAAGAUUAGACAAUCAACAAUUUAAAAUAACAAUACAAAGUAAUGAAAAAGUCAAAACCA